RNAcentral lists this ribosomal RNA (446 nucleotides) under uncultured bacterium. RNAcentral describes it as "partial 16S ribosomal RNA". It matches the Rfam family "Bacterial small subunit ribosomal RNA", at positions 330 to 793 of the family's 1533-position model. The record is from RNAcentral.
UCCAGACUCCUACGGGAGGCAGCAGUGGGGAAUAUUGCACAAUGGGGGAAACCCUGAUGCAGCGACGCCGCGUGAGCGAUGAAGUAUUUCGGUAUGUAAAGCUCUCUCAGCAGGGAAGAAAAUGACGGUACCUGACUAAGAAGCCCCGGCUAACUACGUGCCAGCAGCCGCGGUAAUACGUAGGGGGCAAGCGUUAUCCGGAUUUACUGGGUGUAAAGGGAGCGUAGACGGCAAUGCAAGCCAGAUGUGAAAGCCCGGGGCUCAACCCCGGGACUGCAUUUGGAACUGCGCGGCUGGAGUGCAGGAGGGGCAGGCGGAAUUCCUGGUGUAGCGGUGAAAUGCGUAGAUAUCAGGAGGAACACCGGUGGCGAAGGCGGCCUGCUGGACUGCGACUGACGUUGAGGCCCGAAAGCGUGGGGAGCAAACAGGAUUAGAUACCCCGGUAC